This 927-nucleotide ribosomal RNA is filed under the name uncultured bacterium. Its description in RNAcentral is "bacterial SSU rRNA". It matches the Rfam family "Bacterial small subunit ribosomal RNA", at positions 56 to 1028 of the family's 1533-position model. The record is from RNAcentral.
UGCAGUCGAACGGGUUUAGACCCGUGGCAGACGGGAUCGUAACACGUGGGUACCUACCCCUUAGUCAGGGAUAUGCCACCGAAAGGUGGAGCAAUACCUGAUAGUCUCUACGGAGUAAAGAUUUAUCGCUAAGGGAGGGGCCUGCGCAGUAUCAGCUUGUUGGUGUGGUAACGGCGCACCAAGGCUAUGACGCUUAGGGGAGCUGAGAGGCUGACCCCCAUCAUUGGAACUGAGACACUGUCCAAACUCCUACGGGAGGCUGCAGUCGAGAAUCUUCCGCAAUGCACGAAAGUGUGACGGAGCGACGCCGCGUGGUGGAUGAAGUCCUUAGGGACGUAAACACCUUUUAUAGGGGAUGAAGAUUUUGACAGUACCCUAUGAAUAAGGGGCUCCUAACUCUGUGCCAGCAGGAGCGGUAAUACAGAGGCCCCAAGCGUUACCCGGAAUCACUGGGCGUAAAGGAUGCGUAGGUGGUUAUAUUAGUCGUUCGUGAAAUCCUUCGGCUCAACCGAAGGAAUGCCGGGCGAAACGGUAUAACUAGAGGACGUAAGAGGUAUGCGGAAUUCACGGUGUAGGGGUAAAAUCCGUUGAUAUCGUGGAGAACACCAUAGGCGAAGGCGGCAUACUGGGACGUUCCUGACACUGAGGCAUGAAAGCGUAGGUAGCGAACGGGAUUAGAUACCCCGGUAGUCUACGCCCUAAACGAUGUUCUCUGGCUUUUGGGAGUAUCGACCCUCUCAGAGGCGAAGCUAACGCGUUAAGAGAACCGCCUGGGUAGUACGGCCGCAAGGCUAAAACUCAAAGGAAUAGACGGGGACUCGCACAAGCGGUGGAUUAUGUGGCUUAAUUCGUAGCUAACCGAAGAACCUUACCAGGGCUUGAACCAAACUGCACGCUCCCAGAAACGGGAGAAGCCUUCGAGGGUGU